This 393-nucleotide ribosomal RNA is filed under the name uncultured bacterium. Its description in RNAcentral is "bacterial SSU rRNA". It matches the Rfam family "Bacterial small subunit ribosomal RNA", at positions 29 to 429 of the family's 1533-position model. The record is from RNAcentral.
AUUAAACGCUGGCGGCAUGCCUUACACAUGCAAGUCGAACGGUAGCGCGGGGCAACCUGGCGACGAGUGGCGAACGGGUGAGUAAAGCAUCGGAACGUGCCCUGGAAUGGGGGAUAACGUAGCGAAAGUUACGCUAAUACCGCAUAUUCUGUGAGCAGGAAAGCAGGGGAUCGCAAGACCUUGCGUUCUGGGAGCGGCCGAUGUCGGAUUAGCUAGUUGGUGGGGUAAAAGCCUACCAAGGCGACGAUCCGUAGCGGGUCUGAGAGGAUGAUCCGCCACACUGGGACUGAGACACGGCCCAGACUCCUACGGGAGGCAGCAGUGGGGAAUUUUGGACAAUGGGCGGAAGCCUGAUCCAGCCAUGCCGCGUGAGUGAAGAAGGCCUGGUGUAAG